UCCAUUAAAAUCCCCAAAUUCUACAAUACCUACCCAUGCCAAAAUACGAAACCCACCAUCUGAUACGAAACCCAAAGCAAGCAUGAGAUGUUAGUUGGGUAUGCGGUAUAGAACCUUAAUAUUCAUCUGAAGAUUUCCCAGGCCACUCUCAUUCUCAGCUCAGCCCCUUUUCAUCCGUUCCAUUUUCCCUUUCUCGCUAAUUAUUAAAUUUCAUAAUUCACCCAAAGGCUUGCUAGGCUUCUUCAAAUUCGGCAAGUCUCAUACUCUCAUCAGUUUCGGUCAAGAAAUGAGAUAAGGAAUUAAACUUGGAACGAUUUGGGGGCAAG
This 326-nucleotide long non-coding RNA is filed under the name Panax ginseng (ginseng). RNAcentral describes it as "long non-coding RNA (PGIN_LNC012952)". The record is from RNAcentral. Lineage: Eukaryota; Viridiplantae; Streptophyta; Magnoliopsida; Apiales; Araliaceae.